GUCAGGAGAAAUCAUAGUUGGCAGCAGUAAGACUGGUCUCGGGGACUCCAGGACUGGGCUUGAGCCUUUGUCCUUCAAGAAUUAAGGACAAUGGAGAGUUCAGUUCUACUCCAGAGUUAGUGAAUGAUCCUUCUUAAGCCUAAUGAUCUGCACCAGAGGAAGGAAUAUUCUGUCCAGAGCCAAGAGAAUGAUUGGGAAAGUUCCUGUCAAGCUGAAGAAGCUGAACCACCAUUUGGUAGCUUCAGGAGGUCAUCUAGGUCAAUCCUCUGCCUCUGGGCUGACCCACAUCAGCAGUUGAAGGAGACUCCAUCAUAACCCUGGACUUGAAUCAUCCUGAAUGCCCUGAAGUUCUUCCUUACAUCUAAUGAAACUCUCCCUUGUUGUAAUUAGUGUUCCUAAUAAAGAGGGACCAGACAGCCCA
Antechinus flavipes (yellow-footed antechinus) is the source of this 421-nucleotide long non-coding RNA. RefSeq lists it as uncharacterized. Lineage: Eukaryota; Metazoa; Chordata; Mammalia; Dasyuromorphia; Dasyuridae. The transcript is spliced from 3 exons. The record is from RefSeq and is a predicted model, not a curated record.